This is a long non-coding RNA of Saccostrea cuccullata (small rock oyster), 395 nucleotides long. RefSeq lists it as uncharacterized. Lineage: Eukaryota; Metazoa; Mollusca; Bivalvia; Ostreida; Ostreidae. The transcript has 3 exons. The record is from RefSeq and is a predicted model, not a curated record.
UAAAGAGCUGACGGAGACAUUUUAAUGUAUGAUUGGCGUGGACCAUGGGAAUGAAUUCGAAGUCAUUUUAUGAUGCCACCACUUGGGAUAGUAAGCUGCAAAUAUAGACUUGUACUCAGCACUUAUUGCCUUUGAGAAGUAAGGGAUCCUUUUCGUGCCAACACCUACACACCUACUGUGACACAGAAUCUCGGUUUAUACAGUCUCUUUGGAGUAACCUGUCUCAAGCAUUUAGCAGUGGGACUGGAACUUGCGACGUGUGACUGUCAUCUGAGUACUGAAAUUUGAUGCCAAGCAUAAUCAUGAUUUGCCAGAAGAGCCUCUUUUGGGAGAUGACAAAGAAUAAACAGCAGAAUGAAAUUGAAGCAACCAACUGAAUCAAGUCUCAGUUCAAG